Molecule: ribosomal RNA, 409 nt
Filed under: uncultured Glomus
Lineage: Eukaryota; Fungi; Glomeromycota; Glomeromycetes; Glomerales; Glomeraceae
Description: SSU rRNA
Rfam family: Eukaryotic small subunit ribosomal RNA
Source: RNAcentral
GCAGGCUCGCGCUUGAAUACAUUAGCAUGGAAUAAUGAAAUAGGACGUCCGAUUCUAUUUUGUUGGUUUCUAGGAUCGAUGUAAUGAUUAAUAGGGAUAGUUGGGGGCAUUAGUAUUCAAUUGUCAGAGGUGAAAUUCUUGGAUUUAUUGAAGACUAACUACUGCGAAAGCAUUUGCCAAGGAUGUUUUCAUUAAUCAAGAACGAAAGUUAGGGGAUCGAAGACGAUCAGAUACCGUCGUAGUCUUAACCAUAAACUAUGCCGACUAGGGAUCGGAUGAUGUUAAUUUUUUAAUGACUCAUUCGGCGCCUUACGGGAAACCAAAGUGUUUGGGUUCCGGGGGGAGUAUGGUCGCAAGGCUGAAACUUAAAGGAAUUGACGGAAGGGCACCACCAGGGGUGGAGCCUGCG